AGGGCACCACCAGGAGUGGAGCCUGCGGCUUAAUUUGACUCAACACGGGAAAACUCACCCGGCCCGGACACUGGAAGGAUUGACAGAUUGAGAGCUCUUUCUUGAUUCAGUGGGUGGUGGUGCAUGGCCGUUCUUAGUUGGUGGAGUGAUUUGUCUGGUUAAUUCCGAUAACGAACGAGACUCUAGCCUAUUAAAUAGAUCGUUGGCUUACAAACGCCGGCGAGACUUCUUAGAGGGACAGGCGGCGAUUCAGCCGCACGAAACAGAGCAAUAGCAGGUCUGUGAUGCCCUUAGAUGUCCGGGGCCGCACGCGCGCUACACUGAAGUGAUCAGCGUGCAUUUUGAAACCUACUCUGUCAAGAGUGGGGAACCCAAUGAACCUUCUUCGUGAUUGGGAUAGGGGAUUGUAAUUAUUCCCCUUGAACGAGGAAUUCCCAGUAAGCGCGAAUCAUAAGUUUGCGCUGAUUACGUCCCUGCCCUUUGUACACACCGCCCGUCGCUACUACCGAUUGAAUGUUU
RNAcentral lists this ribosomal RNA (519 nucleotides) under uncultured eukaryote. RNAcentral's name for it is "SSU rRNA". It matches the Rfam family "Eukaryotic small subunit ribosomal RNA", at positions 1161 to 1698 of the family's 1831-position model. The record is from RNAcentral.